UACAGAGACCUCAAGCGUUAUCCGGAUUUAUUGGGCGUAAAGCGCAGGUAGGCGGCCUUGUUAGUCGGAUGUCAAAUGCCCGGGCUCACCCCGGGAACGGCAUUCGAAACGGCAAGGCUCGAGAGUGUGAGAGAUCGGUGGAAUUCAUAGUGUAGUAGUGAAAUGCGUUGAUAUUAUGAGGAACACCCAAGGCGAAGGCAACCGAUUGGCACAUUUCUGACGCUCAGCUGCGAAAGCGUGGGUAGCGAAUGGG
This 253-nucleotide ribosomal RNA is filed under the name uncultured bacterium. RNAcentral describes it as "partial 16S ribosomal RNA". It matches the Rfam family "Bacterial small subunit ribosomal RNA", at positions 524 to 776 of the family's 1533-position model. The record is from RNAcentral.